RNAcentral lists this ribosomal RNA (490 nucleotides) under uncultured bacterium. Its description in RNAcentral is "partial 16S ribosomal RNA". It matches the Rfam family "Bacterial small subunit ribosomal RNA", at positions 30 to 507 of the family's 1533-position model. The record is from RNAcentral.
AUUGAACGCUGGCGGCAUGCUUUACACAUGCAAGUCGGACGGCAGCACAGAGAAGCUUGCUUCUUGGGUGGCGAGUGGCGAACGGGUGAGUAACAUAUAGGAACGUACCGAGCAGUGGGGGAUAACUAAUCGAAAGAUUAGCUAAUACCGCAUAUCUUCUGAGGAAGAAAGCAGGGGACCAUUUGGCCUUGCGCUGUUUGAGCGGCCGAUAUCUGAUUAGCUAGUUGGUGGGGUAAAGGCCUACCAAGGCGACGAUCAGUAGCGGGUCUGAGAGGAUGAUCCGCCACACUGGGACUGAGACACGGCCCAGACUCCUACGGGAGGCAGCAGUGGGGAAUUUUGGACAAUGGGCGCAAGCCUGAUCCAGCCAUGCCGCGUGUCUGAAGAAGGCCUUCGGGUUGUAAAGGACUUUUGUCAGGGAAGAAAAGGGCGGGGUUAAUACCCCUGUCUGAUGACGGUACCUGAAGAAUAAGCACCGGCUAACUACGUG